Molecule: long non-coding RNA, 444 nt
Organism: Panicum virgatum (switchgrass)
Lineage: Eukaryota; Viridiplantae; Streptophyta; Magnoliopsida; Poales; Poaceae
Exons: 2
Source: RefSeq, a predicted model, not a curated record
AUGCAACCGAGCAACGGGUCGGUGCUGCCGGCGGCGGACUCGCAGGCGAUCGGAGAGCUCUUGGAGCAGGUCAAGGGUACUCCGGGGUCUCUGUGCCGGUCCACAUCAGAGACGAGUAGAGAUCGGUGUAGAGAUGAAUGGUCGUAGCCCAUGACAGGGAAAAUGGCGUUUAUGGAGUCAAGUGACGUAUUCCCCCCUGGCGACUGUUGUGGAUGAUAAAUGUAAGGGCCCUCGUAUGCACGCCAUCCAUAGUUUCCUCCCUUGGUAAUCAAAUCUACCUCUUCAUAUGCAUUCUGCUCAUGUAGGGUAAAAGUCCAAGAAAAAAUGAGAAGGUGAUGCCUGGCAAAGUUCAAGCCAAGGAUCCACGUUUUAUUCAAAAGUCUAUCUUAGUUCUCUUGUUUCAGGAUUACUAAUGGUUAAUGAAAGGAUUUUCAUACUGGAAAA